GUUUCCAUGAUGGGCAGCAAUGCAUGCUGCAGCUGGCUCCUGCAAGAGACCCGGGCCAAGGGCAUGGUGGGGAAGCAGCAAGGACUAAAUGAAGCUCAUCAUGCUCACUGCCUGCCACUGAGGGCUUCCAGUUGUGGCAUGUGGGACGCUGCCUCAGCGUGGUUCAACGAGCAGUGUCAUGUCCGCGCCCAGGAUUCGAAUCAACGAAACACUGGGCCGCCUGCAGCGAAGCGAGCAAACUUAACCACUCUGCCACGGGGCCAGCCCCCCUUCCGGGGCCCUUUUGCUGCUGGAUGAGCCUGGUUCUCAGAUUGACAGCAAAUAGCAAAGCAAACAAGCUUCUCGAGACUGACGAUGUGGUGGUGCUAUCCUGGAUUAGGAGGAGUCCUUCUUCCUGAUUGCCUACUACUGUUAAGAGCACUAAAGUAAGCUUUCCUGGCUGAUGAAGUCCAGCACUCAAUGAGUUAAUCACUUUAUGUGGCCUCUUACUGGACAACAUUAACAGUGGAUUUUAUAUGCUUAGGGGUCAUGAUGAAGAAAACAACAUGAGACUAAAUCAAGCACAGGAGAAAAUGAUGCAAUCAAGACACACGGUAAACAUGAGAUGUAUGAGGCUGCUGCUGGUAUAACACAGCAUACUAUUUUACAGUAAACUUUUUUUAUAUGUAGAAAGAAUGCACUAAAAUAAUGAUAAAAAAGUAUAGUACAGUAAACACAUAAACCAGUAAAGUAGCCAUUUAUUAUCGUCAUCAAGUAUAAUGUACUGUACAUAAUUGAAUGUGCUAUACUUUUACACAACUAGCAGUGCUGUAGGUUUGUUUACACCAGCAUCACCACAAACACAGCAGUAAUGCUUUGCGCUAUGAUGUUAGGAUGGCUAUGACGUCACUAGGUGAUAGGAAAAUUUCAGCUCUAUUAUAAUCUUAUGGAACCACACUUGUAUAUGUGGUCCGUCAUUGACCAAAACAUCAUUUUACAGUGCAUGAUUGUACUAGUUUUUAGAUUCUUUGCAACUAAUAUUUGUUUUAUUGUUUAACCAUCUGUAUUAGUUUCCUAGACCUGCUCUAACAAAAUAGCACAAAUUUGGUGGCAGCAAAAAUUUAUUCUUUCACCGUUUUGGAGGUCAGAAGUCCCAAAUUAAAGUGUUGGCAGGAUUGAUUCCUUCUGGAGGCUCGGAAGUAGAAUGUAUUCCCCACCUUCCGGCAGCUUCUGGCAAUCCUUGAUAUCUCUUGGCUUGUAGACUCAUCACGCCCAGCUCUGCUCCAUGUUCAAGUCAGCUUUCUCUCUGUGUGUUUGUGUCUCAACUCUCCCUCUCCUUUUCCUUAUAAGGACACCGGUCACUGGAUUUAGGGCCCGCUCUAAAUCCAGGAUGUCAUUUUGAGACCUUUAACUUCAUCAAAUCUGCGAAGACUCUAUUUCCAAAUAAGGUCACAUUCACAGAUACCAGGGUUAGGAGCCGGACAUAUCUUUUGGGGAGAUACAAUUCAACUCACUACAUCAUCUAUGGCUUUUAAAAAUUUCUGCAUUAUAUGAGAAAGCACAUGUUAGAUUUUAUAUAUGUUAAGGAUAUGAUUACAGAAGCAAAGUGAGAAGUUGAUACAAUUGUCUAGAAAAUUCCAGAAAAAUGCUCAAUUUUGAUUCAUGUGGCUGAAUAUUUUAGGCCAAACAUAAUUUGAAAAUCUGCAUGAUGCUCUUGGAAGAUUCUUUUAGUCUUAAGAGAUAUGGAGUUGAGAAAAAGAUAACAUAAUAACUAGGAGUAGGGUACACAUCAUUAGAGAACAGAAAGACAAGGCUUUUCAGGCUCAAAAACAUUCUGAAAUUCUGGUGAUAUGUGAAAAUGACUUGCAAUGCUGCAAAAUUACAUGACCAUGGAUGUACUUUUUAUUUGUUACAGUCUAGAAUUUGUGCUUUUAUCUGUAAUUCAAAUAUUAAUGGCAGUUAGUUGGUUAACAUUUAUUGAACUCUAGAUCUUCAAUUAUGAGAGGAUCAAUAGAAGUCUUUUGCUCUUCUUUACCAGCUUCUGUUGGUCAGCGAUGUUUAUGUGAUUGAGUAAGGUUUUGAUGGCUUUGGUGUCAAUUCCUUUUGACCAUUUAUUUGGCCUUUGAUGGAUCAGUAUAGUGAAUUUUCAAUAACAAUGGAGAAUUGGAUUUUCAUUUUCUUAAACAUAGCACUCUAAUUUAUGAUACUUCUUCCAAACAGUGAAUGACUUAAUGAAUUCUUCUAAAACACGCUUUG
RNAcentral lists this long non-coding RNA (2235 nucleotides) under Equus caballus (horse). Its description in RNAcentral is "lncRNA (ENSECAG00000056959.1)". The record is from RNAcentral. Lineage: Eukaryota; Metazoa; Chordata; Mammalia; Perissodactyla; Equidae.